CGGCGGACGGGUGAGUAACGCGUGGGUAACCUGCCUCAUACAGGGGGAUAACAGUUAGAAAUGACUGCUAAUACCGCAUAAGCACACAGUACCGCAUGGUACAGAGUGAAAAACUCCGGUGGUAUGAGAUGGACCCGCGUCUGACUAGCCAGUUGGCGGGGUAACGGCCCACCAAAGCGACGAUCGGUAGCCGGACUGAGAGGUUGAACGGCCACAUUGGGACUGAGACACGGCCCAG
RNAcentral lists this ribosomal RNA (238 nucleotides) under uncultured Bacillota bacterium. Its description in RNAcentral is "uncultured Firmicutes bacterium partial 16S ribosomal RNA". It matches the Rfam family "Bacterial small subunit ribosomal RNA", at positions 96 to 334 of the family's 1533-position model. Lineage: Bacteria; Bacillati; Bacillota. The record is from RNAcentral.